AAGGUGGGGCGAUCUGCCGCUCGAAAGAGAGGAAAGUCCGGACAGGACAGGGCAUCCCGCUGCGGAAAGCGCAGGUGGAGGUAACUUCAGGCCAUCCGUAACAGAAAAAAACAGCCCUCCCCUCGGGGAAGGCAAUGAUGAAAACGCGAGGCAAGAGCUCACGACGCCGGGCAGCGAUGUCAGGCGGGUACGGAACCGGGACCUGCAAAACCAAAUAUACUGGCAGAUGAGGGCGGCCCGCCCGAUGCCAGGGGGUAGGUUGCGAAGAUAAAUGGCAGAAAACAAGUGAACAGAAACCGGCUUACGGCUCCACCUUUUUA
This 320-nucleotide RNase P RNA is filed under the name Bacteroidales bacterium. RNAcentral describes it as "RNase P RNA component class A". It matches the Rfam family "Bacterial RNase P class A". From Rfam's summary of the family: Ribonuclease P (RNase P) is a ubiquitous endoribonuclease, found in archaea, bacteria and eukarya as well as chloroplasts and mitochondria. Its best characterised activity is the generation of mature 5'-ends of tRNAs by cleaving the 5'-leader elements of precursor-tRNAs. The record is from RNAcentral. Lineage: Bacteria; Pseudomonadati; Bacteroidota; Bacteroidia; Bacteroidales.